AUGGCUCAGGAUGAACGCUGGCGGCGUGCCUAACACAUGCAAGUCGAGCGAUUCUCUUCGGAGAAGAGCGGCGGACGGGUGAGUAACGCGUGGGUAACCUGCCUCGAUACACAUGGAUAACAUACCGAAAGGUAUGCUAAUACAGGAUAAUAUAAGAGAUUCACAUGGAUUUCUUAUCAAAGCUCCGGCGGUAUGAGAUGGACCCGCGUCUGAUUAGCUAGUUGGUAAGGUAACGGCUUACCAAGGCGACGAUCAGUAGCCGACCUGAGAGGGUGAUCGGCCACAUUGGAACUGAGACACGGUCCAAACUCCUACGGGAGGCAGCAGUGGGGAAUAUUGCACAAUGGGCGGAAGCCUGAUGCCAGCAACGCCGCGUGAGUGAUGAAGGCCUUCGGGUCGUAAAACUCUGUCCUCAAGGAAGAUAAUGACGGUACUUGAGGAGGAAGCCCCGGCUAACUACGUGCCAGCCGCUGC
RNAcentral lists this ribosomal RNA (474 nucleotides) under uncultured bacterium. Its description in RNAcentral is "bacterial SSU rRNA". It matches the Rfam family "Bacterial small subunit ribosomal RNA", at positions 19 to 518 of the family's 1533-position model. The record is from RNAcentral.